GAAAUCUGUUUUCUUGUAUCAAGUUGUGGCACCGCCCAGGUGGGAAGAUGCCCGCGUAGGUGGGGAGCGGGGCUCCAUACUCAGGGCGAGGUGAGAGAGGAAUCCUGACCCUCUCCCAAGGAUCCUCUUUCCAGUCGGUGAGCCACCCGAGGACAUUCCUACUGCGGCUAGUUUGAAUUAGGGUUCUGUCUAGCAGUGAGUGACACACCCUGUUAAGAAUGUAACUAGGAAGCCAUCAUGGUUGAGUACGCCUUUAGUCCCAGCACUUGCCAGGCAAAGGCAGGGCAUUUUGUUUAUAAUGUCAGACAGACUGCCAGAUCCUGACAAUGACCCGAAGAUUACAGGCACCUCAGUUCCUGCACCUGGACCAAUGAGCAGAUGCUCAGAUAUGAAACCUGCCGCCUGCCAGAACCUGGCCGAGACUGUGGACAAAGCUGCUGGACGCUGGAAAAUUGAUUGUACCCCUUUGCCUAGACAAAACAAGGUCAGUCUUUUCCAUGUCCCUCUUCCACAGAGAGAAAAUAAAACCUCUCACAGAUAGGCCUGGCGAAGAUUGUUGUUCUUUGAGACAGCUGCCUCCAACGACAUCUGAGUACCAGUUGCUGACUUCAGACUGUUCUAAGUAGACUGCGAACCCUAGACUUGCUAUGGAUGUGAACUAGUCUGCUGAUAUGGACACCCCCUAUCUCUGCAACAGUGUCUGCUAACCAGAAGCCCCUGAUGGAUUCCCCGUUG
RNAcentral lists this long non-coding RNA (735 nucleotides) under Cricetulus griseus (Chinese hamster). RNAcentral describes it as "lncRNA (ENSCGRG00015030933.1)". Lineage: Eukaryota; Metazoa; Chordata; Mammalia; Rodentia; Cricetidae. The record is from RNAcentral.